CGAGGAAGGGAUUUUCUUAGCUGAUAUUUGCUUCAUUUUCAGCGUUUCUCCAUCUGUUUUAAUUUCAGGUAUGUGAUAUAUGGUAUUGGUCACUUAUGGUUAAAAUAGUAACUUUUAAAGAUGGGAUGAAUAUAACAUCUAUAUUCUUAUUUGAGAGGCUGUUGGACAUCAUGCUCCAAGGCAGAGUUGAAGAAGCAACACCAAGCAGUGAUGCAGUUGUCACAGUGGAAGGAAAGAGCCUAAAACAAGUUCUCAUCCUACAGUUAUUCCUCCUGCUGUCAAACUGGUUUACUCUACAAUGACUCUUGAGGUUACUUUUCAUACAAGGAAAAAAACCCUAAGAUCUGUUUCCUAGCUUUCAUCCUUCAGAAACUGGUCACUACAAGCUCUCUGCUGAUUUCCCUCUGAGGUGGAGUAUUAGUGRUCCUGCCACCAAAGGACAAUCCAGCGUUUAGCCGUAAUACUUUGAUACUGCUCCUGCUGAGCCUAGCUGUAAAGGUUUCUGGUUUUACUGAUGCAGAAUCAGGCCCUUGGCUUUGUUUGCUGUUCAGGAUGAAUUCCCUGUGCAAAAUCACACUGGAAUGCAAAGUGAUGGCAGAGUGUAGCCUACUGCAGUACUUCUUGAGUAAUGAAUCUCAGGUGAAAAAAAGCAAUUGUACAUAUUUUUUGUGCUGUAAGUAUACAAGAUAAUUUUGGGAAAUGAAAUAUUAUGCAUAGGCCCUACUACCAUUUUUAGAAUCAAAACAACUUCAAAGACCAUCAAGUUCAUCCGCAAUGAUAAUAUUUAUUGUGGGUUUUCAAGGGAGGCCAUGAACAAUUGCUUUGAACUUUAAAAGC
This 837-nucleotide long non-coding RNA is filed under the name Dromaius novaehollandiae (emu). RNAcentral's name for it is "lncRNA (ENSDNVG00000018262.1)". Lineage: Eukaryota; Metazoa; Chordata; Aves; Casuariiformes; Dromaiidae. The record is from RNAcentral.